Pelobates cultripes (western spadefoot toad) is the source of this 311-nucleotide non-coding RNA. NCBI's taxonomy places the organism in Eukaryota, Metazoa, Chordata, Amphibia, Anura, Pelobatidae. The record is from the annotation of a GenBank genome assembly.
AUUUCAAAUUGUUGAAUAAUUAAUCACAACAAAUCUAGUUCACAGGCAUCGGCAGUGUGGAUUAAUCCUUCACUGCUUUAUUAUAUAAAGACACAUUACAUCUUACUACAAUUGUUACAUUGUAACUCCCCCUUCCCAGGCCCUGUAGAUCAGCUAUACACAAUCAGAGAAUUAGACCAUCCUUUAGCCUUGCAUGUAUUGACUGACAAAUAUAUAUAUAACCCUUAACUGUGCUUUAAAACUAUAUAUAGGCCAUUGUAACCCAAAAAUGCAAACACCCCUUGACUAGAAGAUAUUUAUGCACUGUGUGU